Molecule: ribosomal RNA, 254 nt
Filed under: uncultured bacterium
Lineage: Bacteria
Description: partial 16S ribosomal RNA
Rfam family: Bacterial small subunit ribosomal RNA
Source: RNAcentral
UACGUAAGGGGGCUAGCGUUGCUCGGAAUCACUGGGCGUAAAGCGCACGUAGGCGGAUCUUUAAGUCAGGGGUGAAAUCCCAAGGCUCAACCUUGGAACUGCCUUUGAUACUGGGGAUCUCGAGUCCGGAAGAGGUGAGUGGAACUGCGAGUGUAGAGGUGAAAUUCGUAGAUAUUCGCAAGAACACCAGUGGCGAAGGCGGCUCACUGGUCCGGUACUGACGCUGAGGUGCGAAAGCGUGGGGAGCGAACAGG